This 416-nucleotide unclassified non-coding RNA is filed under the name uncultured Sebacinaceae. RNAcentral describes it as "sequence contains ITS2". The stretch from base 1 to 154 matches the Rfam family "5.8S ribosomal RNA". Lineage: Eukaryota; Fungi; Basidiomycota; Agaricomycetes; Sebacinales; Sebacinaceae. The record is from RNAcentral.
AACUUCCAGCAAUGUAUCACUUGGCUCUCGCAUCGAUGAAGAACGCAGCGAAAUGCGAUAAGUAAUGUGAAUUGCAGAAUUCAGUGAAUCAUCGAAUCUUUGAACGCACCUUGCACCCAUUGGUAUUCCAAAGGGUAUGCUCGUUUGAGUGUCAUUGUACUCUCACACUCUAAUUAAAUUUGGAGACGUGGACUUGGGUGUUGCUGCUUUGCUGUGGCUCAUCUUAAAUAUGCUAGUGCAACUCAUGGUUGGAUAUAGUACAGCGUGAUAAGUAUCUUCGCUGGCACCUCCUCAAGAGGGUAUCCGAUUGGGGGCUCUGUGCUUCAAACUGUCCCAUCUGGGACGAUCUCUGACAACUUGGCCUCAAAUCGAGUAGGACUACCCGCUGAACUUAAGCAUAUCAAUAAGCGGAGGCU